UAUAAAAGCUACUUAGACACCUCUAAAAGCAAUGGAAAUCAUAGUCAUGUGGGCGUCGUCGACCUCACCAAGAUGGCGUCGCGCUCCGCCACCGUCGGCCAGGCUUCUAAAACGGGCGUGUUUCCUCUAGUGAUAUAACUUAUUGAUUCCAACCCCCAGGUCUCACAGAUUCCAGCCUCCUCUUCCUCUGUCCCGCUGCAGUCGGAUACCGCCGACUUUGCCUGCAGAGCAUUUUCUCACGCCAACAGUUGCCCUAACCAUCAGCUACGUGAGACGUCGCCACCAAGACAUUUGAAAGAAAUGUCUGCCAGGGGAAUUGUGAGCUUGUUUCCCGUCUUAGUGACCCUUUCUCCAGGACCGGUUAUGGUGAGACAGUGACCUCAUUGAUUCUGCUGCUGUUGCACCUUGUUCCUCCUUCUGCCCAAGAAGGAGUCAAAGACCAGGAAGUGUCUGCUUCCCAAGCAGAAAAGCAUUUGGUGGUCUUCAAGAAGACGAGAACCAACAUUCAAGAACAUCUUGAUUCCAUCACGACCAGCAGUUCACCCGAUCUCCUGGCUGUAGGACAAAGUAGGAAAGAAAUCCACCAGUUCUAAUCACCCUUUACACAAAUGUCAUCGCCUACAGGUUGGCUUCCUCACUUGGUGCCUUUGAACUGUUCAAGGCAAAUUUUGUUUUUGCUACAAAGUACAACCCAAUGCUCCACAGCAUGUUCACAUUCAUCCAGACAACUGUCUACAACAAAGAUGUUGGGAAGUGAAGGAGAGCCCCCGUGUUGCAGAAGUUGGGGCCGGGCUGCUUCAUUAGCUCAUGAACACGUCUAUUUGAGAAGAGGUGUUUUGUUUGUCACUCUGAGUUGAGUUCAAAUACACUUGUUGGGCAUUUAUGAGUAGAUCGUGGUAAUGUAGAUGGGGAAAAAUAUAUGACUUAAAUGUGCUCAGAAUGGAUGUGGUCGAGUACUUGGGAAUUUUUCUGGAUUUAGAAAAACAUUUAAACACCAAACACAUGGACAGAAUUAUUAACUAUUGGAUUUCUUUAAUUUUUUUCUUCACUUUUUCAAUAGAAAUUCUAUUGUGGACAUAAUAUUUAAAAAGUUGCCUCGUUUUUGUACUUGAUUCUUGUGGUUCAGCUGCCAAACAUUUCAUGCAGUCGGCCUUUGCUGGUACACAGCCAGAUGGGAUGGAAUCCGUGAAUUGUCUUUCUACUGUCUCAACUUCAGGUUGUGUGCCCUACCUCUCCUCUUUGGGGGACCUUCAGCAUAAAAAACAAAGUCUCUCACUAGGAACUAAACAUGGUUCAUCUCUGCAGGAACCUUCCCACACAUGGACAUAUUUACCUGUCAGGCAUGGUUCAAUGACUGCUGGGUGCGUUACAUAACUGGACCUUCUGCAGACUAGGACCUGGUUUGGAAACAAGGCUUUAUGACGCACAGUGCAAACAUAAGAGUGCCGAGUCUUCAGCUUGAAUAUUGGACCUGAAGACAGAAAUGGCAUUUGUUGUCAGUCUUUGUUUCUACAGUCUGUGUAAGUCUCUUCAUCUGUGUACUUUCGUCUUAUUUGGUCUUAUGUUAAGACGGCUGCCUUGCAUUUUUUCAAAGUAAAUGUUCAACAAUGACUUCCACGACAGCGACUUCUACUGGCUAAACUUUAAUAAUAAUAAUAGUUCAGGGCUCCAGACUUACUUUUUUCACUAGGUGUGGCCCCUAACUGAA
RNA transcript from Oryzias latipes (Japanese medaka), 1708 nucleotides. RefSeq lists it as uncharacterized. NCBI's taxonomy places the organism in Eukaryota, Metazoa, Chordata, Actinopteri, Beloniformes, Adrianichthyidae. The record is from RefSeq and is a predicted model, not a curated record.